RNAcentral lists this ribosomal RNA (666 nucleotides) under Triticum aestivum (bread wheat). RNAcentral describes it as "partial small subunit ribosomal RNA". Lineage: Eukaryota; Viridiplantae; Streptophyta; Magnoliopsida; Poales; Poaceae. The record is from RNAcentral.
AUGGACACCGGCGCCACGGAUCACAUGACGAAUGAGCUCAACAAACUCUCCACCUACCAGCCCUACUACGGGCAAUAUCAGGUUCACACCGCCAAUGGUGUAGGUAUGCCCAUCUCUCAUAUUGGCCAAGCAUCUCUUUUAACUAGUCAUCCCUCUAGGCAGCUCCAUCUUCGUAAUGUUUUACAGGAUCGAGCAACCCGGGACGUUCUGCUUAGUGGCCGGUUGAGCCAAGGCUUGUACCGUUUGGAGGAUCCAUCCGCCCCGUACGUCUUCAGCGGUGUUCAUGUGUCGCCUUCCCAGUGGCACUCUCGCUUUGGUCACCCCGCCACACCCAUCGUUCGCCACAUAAUCCACCGUCAUGAGCUGCCAUUAGUGUCUAGCAAUAAAGAGAUGUCCGUGUGUGAUGCCUGUCAGCAAGGCAAGAUUCAUCAGCUAUCUUUUGUUUCAUCUACUAGAGAAGUAAAGAACCCUCUUGAAAUUGUGUUUUCUGAUGUGUGGGGUCCGGCAAAAACAUCUGUUAGUGGUCACAACUAUUAUGUCAGUUUUGUUGAUGCCUAUAGUCGCUUCACUUGGCUUUAUCUUCUUAAGCGCAAAUCUGAUGUGUUUGAUAUAUUCAUACAGUUUCAAUUGCAUGUUGAACGUCUACUCAAGCAUAAAAUUAUCCAU